RNAcentral lists this unclassified non-coding RNA (147 nucleotides) under soil metagenome. RNAcentral describes it as "partial internal transcribed spacer 1". The record is from RNAcentral.
CCGAGUUUACAACUCCCAAACCCCUGUGAACAUACCUAUAUGUUGCCUCGGCGGAUCAGCCCGCGCCCCGUAAGACGGGACGGCCCGCCGCAGGAUCCACAAACUCUGUUUUUAUUGUAACUUCUGAGUAACAAAACAAAUAAAUCA